This 494-nucleotide ribosomal RNA is filed under the name uncultured bacterium. Its description in RNAcentral is "partial 16S ribosomal RNA". It matches the Rfam family "Bacterial small subunit ribosomal RNA", at positions 28 to 507 of the family's 1533-position model. The record is from RNAcentral.
GACGAACGCUGGCGGCGUGCUUAACACAUGCAAGUCGAACGGUGAAGCGCCUUCCUUUUUGGUGGGUGUGGAUGAGUGGCGAACGGGUGAGUAACACGUGAGUAACCUGCCCCCUUCUUCUGGAUAACCGCAUGAAAGUGUGGCUAAUACGGGAUAUUCUGGGUCUGUCGCAUGAUGGGUCUGGGAAAGAUAUUGUUUCGGUGGGGGAUGGGCUCGCGGCCUAUCAGCUUGUUGGUGGGGUGAUGGCCUACCAAGGCGGUGACGGGUAGCCGGCCUCAGAGGGUGGACGGUCACACUGGGACUGAGACACGGCCCAGACUCCUACGGGAGGCAGCAGUGGGGAAUAUUGCACAAUGGGCGCAAGCCUGAUGCAGCGACGCCGCGUGAGGGAUGGAGGCCUUCGGGUUGUGAACCUCUUUCGCCAGUGAAGCAGGCCUGCCUCGUUUGUGGGUGGGUUGACGGUAGCUGGAUAAGAAGCGCCGGCUAACUACGUG